Molecule: non-coding RNA, 100 nt
Filed under: Priestia koreensis
Lineage: Bacteria; Bacillati; Bacillota; Bacilli; Caryophanales; Bacillaceae
Description: Bacillus koreensis Guanine sequence
Rfam family: Purine riboswitch aptamer
About the family: Riboswitches are metabolite binding domains within certain messenger RNAs that serve as precision sensors for their corresponding targets. Allosteric rearrangement of mRNA structure is mediated by ligand binding, and this results in modulation of gene expression. A class of riboswitches that selectively recognises guanine and becomes saturated at concentrations as low as 5 nM.
Source: Rfam by way of RNAcentral
CAGCUAAUUGAAUAAACUUCUCAUAUAUCCUUAGGAAUUGGCCUAAGAGUUUCUACCCAGCAACCGUAAUUGCCGGACUAUGAGUGAAAUACACAUAUAG